AGAUUGAACGCUGGCGGAAUGCUUUACACAUGCAAGUCGAACGGCAGCACGGGGGCAACCCUGGUGGCGAGUGGCGCACGGGCGAGUAAUACAUCGGAACGUAUCCUAGAGUGGGGGAUAGCCGGCGAAAGCCGGAUUAAUACCGCAUACGCUCGAAAGAGGAAAGUGGGGGAUCGUAAGACCUCACGCCCAAGGAGCGGCCGAUGCCGGAUUAGCUUGUUGGUGAGGUAAAAGCUCACCAAGGCGACGAUCCGUAGCUGGUCUGAGAGGACGACCAGCCACACUGGGACUGAGACACGGCCCAGACUCCUACGGGAGCAGCAGUGGGG
This 329-nucleotide ribosomal RNA is filed under the name uncultured soil bacterium. RNAcentral describes it as "bacterial SSU rRNA". It matches the Rfam family "Bacterial small subunit ribosomal RNA", at positions 26 to 359 of the family's 1533-position model. The record is from RNAcentral.